CCCUUAGAGUUUGAUCCUGGCUCAUAAUGAACGUUGGCGGCGUGGAUUAGGCAUGCAAGUCGUACGGGCCGCAAGGCCAGUGGCGCAAGGGUGAGUAAGGCGACGGUAACCAACCCCAUGAUUGGGUAUAGCCGCGGGAAACUGCGGGUAAUCCCCAGCGACGUCCCGAGGGGGCAUCUCCCCGGGACCAAAGCUCCGGCGUCGUGGGACGGGCCGUCGUGGUAUUAGGUUGUUGGCGGGGUAACGGCCCACCAAGCCUGCGAUGCCUACCGGGCGUGCGAGCGUGGCCCGGCACACUGGGACUGAGACACUGCCCAGACUCCUACGGGAGGCUGCAGUCGAGAAUCUUCGGCAAUGGGCGCAAGCCUGACCGAGCGACGCCGCGUGGAGGACGAAGGCCUUCGGGUUGUAAACUCCUGUCGAGGGGGAAGAAGGCCCCGAAAGGGGCUUGACUGAUCCCUGGAGGAAGCACGGGCUAAGUUCGUGCCAGCAGCCGCGGUAAGACGAACCGUGCGAACGUUAUUCGGAAUCACUGGGCUUAAAGCGCGUGUAGGCGGGACGGCACGUCGGUCGCUGAAAUCCCCCGGCUCAACCGGGGAACGGGCACCGAUACGACCGGCCUGGAGGGACGUAGGGGGACCUGGAACUUCCGGUGGAGCGGUGAAAUGCGUUGAGAUCGGAAGGAACGCCCGUGGCGAAAGCGAGUCCUGGACGUUUACUGACGCUGAGACGCGAAAGCCAGGGGAGCGAACGGGAUUAGAUACCCCGGUAGUCC
Molecule: ribosomal RNA, 775 nt
Filed under: uncultured bacterium
Lineage: Bacteria
Description: bacterial SSU rRNA
Rfam family: Bacterial small subunit ribosomal RNA
Source: RNAcentral